RNAcentral lists this ribosomal RNA (253 nucleotides) under uncultured bacterium. RNAcentral describes it as "partial 16S ribosomal RNA". It matches the Rfam family "Bacterial small subunit ribosomal RNA", at positions 524 to 776 of the family's 1533-position model. The record is from RNAcentral.
UACGGGGGGGGCAAGCGUUGUUCGGAAUUACUGGGCGUAAAGGGUUCGUAGGUGGCUUACUAAGUCAGACGUGAAAUCCCUCAGCUUAACUGGGGAACUGCGUCUGAGACUGGCGAGCUUGAGUGCAGGAGAGGAACGCGGAAUUCCAGGUGUAGCGGUGAAAUGCGUAGAUAUCUGGAGGAACACCGGUGGCGAAGGCGGCGUUCUGGACUGUUACUGACACUGAGGAACGAAAGCCAGGGGAGCAAACGGG